AGGCUCGGACCAGAGUAACCAUAUACUUGCCCUCUCGGCCACUAUAUUUUACAAAACCAUAUCUCACAUUGUACUAGUACACAACCACUCAUAACAUAUGCACAUGAUGGAAGUAAGAGUCUCAAACAAAUUUUAAAUACAAAACGAGGAUCAAGACACAAUCUUCGAUAUCUACCUGGCGUAGUCACCAUGAUGACCGACCCCGAAGCUCG
This 212-nucleotide long non-coding RNA is filed under the name Linum usitatissimum (flax). Its description in RNAcentral is "long non-coding RNA (LUSI_LNC005568)". Lineage: Eukaryota; Viridiplantae; Streptophyta; Magnoliopsida; Malpighiales; Linaceae. The record is from RNAcentral.